UUAUUUAACGGCCGCGGUACUCUGACCGUGCAAAGGUAGCAUAAUCAUUUGCCUUAUAAUUGAAGGCUUGUAUGAAUGGUUUGACAAGAAUUAGUCUGUCUCUUACAAAUUAAAAUGAAAUUGACUUUUAGGUGUAAAGGCCUAAAUAUUACUAAUAGACAAGAAGACCCUAUUGAGCUUUAAAAAUUUAUAAUAAUAUAAUUUAUAUUAAAAAUAAGAUUACAAAUUAUCAAAAUUUUUAGUUGGGGCGACUAUUGGAACAAGUAAAACUUCCAGAAUUUUAUAAUAUUUAAUAUUAAUUUAUUUAGAUCCAAAAUGUUUUGAUUAAUAGAAUAAGUUACCAUAGGGAUAACAGCAUAAUCUAUCUUAAGAGUUCUAAUCGAAAGAAAGGUUUGUGACCUCGAUGUUGGAUUAAAAUGUCCUAAGGGUGUAGAAGCUCUUGAAGGUUGGUCUGUUCG
RNAcentral lists this ribosomal RNA (458 nucleotides) under Pila sp. 1 MS-2019. RNAcentral describes it as "partial large subunit ribosomal RNA". It matches the Rfam family "Bacterial large subunit ribosomal RNA", at positions 1920 to 2583 of the family's 2925-position model. Lineage: Eukaryota; Metazoa; Mollusca; Gastropoda; Architaenioglossa; Ampullariidae. The record is from RNAcentral.